UUAAGUUAUUAAGGGCGCACGGUGGAUGCCUUGGCACUAGAAGCCGAUGAAGGACGUUACUAACGACGAUAUGCUUUGGGGAGCUGUAAGUAAGCUUUGAUCCAGAGAUUUCCGAAUGGGGAAACCCAGCAUGAGUUAUGUCAUGUUAUCGAUAUGUGAAUACAUAGCAUAUCAGAAGGCACACCCGGAGAACUGAAACAUCUUAGUACCCGGAGGAAGAGAAAGAAAAUUCGAUUCCCUUAGUAGCGGCGAGCGAAACGGGAAGAGCCCAAACCAACAAGCUUGCUUGUUGGGGUUGUAGGACACUCUAUACGGAGUUACAAAAGACGACAUUAGACGAAUCAUCUGGAAAGAUGAAUCAAAGAAGGUAAUAAUCCUGUAGUCGAAAAUGUUGUCUCUCUUGAGUGGAUCCUGAGUACGACGGAGCACGUGAAAUUCCGUCGGAAUCUGGGAGGACCAUCUCCUAAGGCUAAAUACUCUCUAGUGACCGAUAGUGAACCAGUACCGUGAGGGAAAGGUGAAAAGCACCCCGGAAGGGGAGUGAAAUAGAACCUGAAACCGUGUGCUUACAAGUAGUCAGAGCCCGUUAAUGGGUGAUGGCGUGCCUUUUGUAGAAUGAACCGGCGAGUUACGAUUUGAUGCAAGGUUAAGCAGUAAAUGUGGAGCCGUAGCGAAAGCGAGUCUGAAUAGGGCGUUUAGUAUUUGGUCGUAGACCCGAAACCAGGUGAUCUACCCUUGGUCAGGUUGAAGUUCAGGUAACACUGAAUGGAGGACCGAACCGACUUACGUUGAAAAGUGAGCGGAUGAACUGAGGGUAGCGGAGAAAUUCCAAUCGAACCUGGAGAUAGCUGGUUCUCUCCGAAAUAGCUUUAGGGCUAGCCUCAAGUGAUGAUUAUUGGAGGUAGAGCACUGUUUGGACAGGGGCCCCUCUCGGGUUACCGAAUUCAGACAAACUCCGAAUGCCAAUUAAUUUAACUUGGGAGUCAGAACAUGGGUGAUAAGGUCCGUGUUCGAAAGGGAAACAGCCCAGACCACCAGCUAAGGUCCCAAAAUAUAUGUUAAGUGGAAAAGGAUGUGGCGUUGCCCAGACAACUAGGAUGUUGGCUUAGAAGCAGCCAUCAUUUAAAGAGUGCGUAAUAGCUCACUAGUCGAGUGACACUGCGCCGAAAAUGUACCGGGGCUAAACAUAUUACCGAAGCUGUGGAUUGUCCUUUGGACAAUGGUAGGAGAGCGUUCUAAGGGCGUUGAAGCAUGAUCGUAAGGACAUGUGGAGCGCUUAGAAGUGAGAAUGCCGGUGUGAGUAGCGAAAGACGGGUGAGAAUCCCGUCCACCGAUUGACUAAGGUUUCCAGAGGAAGGCUCGUCCGCUCUGGGUUAGUCGGGUCCUAAGCUGAGGCCGACAGGCGUAGGCGAUGGAUAACAGGUUGAUAUUCCUGUACCACCUAUAAUCGUUUUAAUCGAUGGGGGGACGCAGUAGGAUAGGCGAAGCGUGCGAUUGGAUUGCACGUCUAAGCAGUAAGGCUGAGUAUUAGGCAAAUCCGGUACUCAUUAAGGCUGAGCUGUGAUGGGGAGAAGACAUUGUGUCUUCGAGUCGUUGAUUUCACACUGCCGAGAAAAGCCUCUAGAUAGAAAAUAGGUGCCCGUACCGCAAACCGACACAGGUAGUCAAGAUGAGAAUUCUAAGGUGAGCGAGCGAACUCUCGUUAAGGAACUCGGCAAAAUGACCCCGUAACUUCGGGAGAAGGGGUGCUCUUUAGGGUUAACGCCCAGAAGAGCCGCAGUGAAUAGGCCCAAGCGACUGUUUAUCAAAAACACAGGUCUCUGCUAAACCGUAAGGUGAUGUAUAGGGGCUGACGCCUGCCCGGUGCUGGAAGGUUAAGAGGAGUGGUUAGCUUCUGCGAAGCUACGAAUCGAAGCCCCAGUAAACGGCGGCCGUAACUAUAACGGUCCUAAGGUAGCGAAAUUCCUUGUCGGGUAAGUUCCGACCCGCACGAAAGGCGUAACGAUUUGGGCACUGUCUCAACGAGAGACUCGGUGAAAUCAUAGUACCUGUGAAGAUGCAGGUUACCCGCGACAGGACGGAAAGACCCCGUGGAGCUUUACUGUAGCCUGAUAUUGAAAUUCGGCACAGCUUGUACAGGAUAGGUAGGAGCCUUUGAAACGUGAGCGCUAGCUUACGUGGAGGCGCUGGUGGGAUACUACCCUAGCUGUGUUGGCUUUCUAACCCGCACCACUUAUCGUGGUGGGAGACAGUGUCAGGCGGGCAGUUUGACUGGGGCGGUCGCCUCCUAAAAGGUAACGGAGGCGCUCAAAGGUUCCCUCAGAAUGGUUGGAAAUCAUUCAUAGAGUGUAAAGGCAUAAGGGAGCUUGACUGCGAGACCUACAAGUCGAGCAGGGUCGAAAGACGGACUUAGUGAUCCGGUGGUUCCGCAUGGAAGGGCCAUCGCUCAACGGAUAAAAGCUACCCCGGGGAUAACAGGCUUAUCUCCCCCAAGAGUUCACAUCGACGGGGAGGUUUGGCACCUCGAUGUCGGCUCAUCGCAUCCUGGGGCUGUAGUCGGUCCCAAGGGUUGGGCUGUUCGCCCAUUAAAGCGGUACGCGAGCUGGGUUCAGAACGUCGUGAGACAGUUCGGUCCCUAUCCGUCGUGGGCGUAGGAAAUUUGAGAGGAGCUGUCCUUAGUACGAGAGGACCGGGAUGGACAUACCUCUGGUGUACCAGUUGUCGUGCCAACGGCAUAGCUGGGUAGCUAUGUGUGGACGGGAUAAGUGCUGAAAGCAUCUAAGCAUGAAGCCCCCCUCAAGAUGAGAUUUCCCAACUUCGGUUAUAAGAUCCCUCAAAGAUGAUGAGGUUAAUAGGUUCGAGGUGGAAGCAUGGUGACAUGUGGAGCUGACGAAUACUAAUCGAUCGAAGACUUAAUCAA
RNAcentral lists this ribosomal RNA (2920 nucleotides) under Staphylococcus aureus subsp. aureus CIG1500. RNAcentral describes it as "bacterial LSU rRNA". It matches the Rfam family "Bacterial large subunit ribosomal RNA". Lineage: Bacteria; Bacillati; Bacillota; Bacilli; Caryophanales; Staphylococcaceae. The record is from RNAcentral.